Molecule: long non-coding RNA, 2362 nt
Organism: Siniperca chuatsi (mandarin fish)
Lineage: Eukaryota; Metazoa; Chordata; Actinopteri; Centrarchiformes; Sinipercidae
Exons: 2
Source: RefSeq, a predicted model, not a curated record
CUAUAAACAAUGGUUAGUUACGCAUCACAUAUAGAUGAGCACAAUCAUUUCUCAAUACAAUUAAGACAUUUAAUUUUUACUAAGUUGUGUUGUCUUUUGUUUCUAUCUUCCUAGAGAGAGAAAGAACAUGCGUGUUUAUACAUUGAGUGUGCAUGUUGUUGAUUAGCUGCGCAGACUCAAAAGAGUUGACAAUCACUUUACUAUUGAACACGUCAUCAGGGGAGAGCGCGAACGCAGUCCCCCACUACCAGAAAUUAUGCAGUCGAGAUUCCCACAUUUGGGGAAUUCGCAGAGGUCAGCUCAGCCGGAGUGCAAUGGUUAAGCCUCGCCCUGGGUGAACCACCUUCUUGAUCAUGGUAUCUCCCCUGCCAGGUAAGUAUGAGUUGUACACGUCGGAGGUGAGCGACUCUUUCACGGACAGACCGAGCUCACCGACGGUGCCGUGGCCAUAUGAACGCACGCUGCGAUCGGCUCUGAAGUGAGACAGCGUCGAGUACUUUGAGGACAUUUAUCUUCGGAAGGAUUUGACCCUGAAUGCGCGACAAAUUUGACACGUUUUUAAGUUUAUUUUCUUCUUCCCAUAAUGCAUUGCCAGUUAUACGCCGGAGCUUUUUAAAAAUGACUAUUACCGUUAUUACGUGAAAACGAUCCGGCAAAUUAAAAUAAAUAAAUAAAUAAAUAAAAAACAAUUCUGAUUAACACAUUGAAUAUAAUAUCGACAAUUAGCUUGUUUUUAGCAUUCUGUAUAGCGAAAAUGUCAAAUGUUUUUCAUUUCCGCAUAUGGGGGCUGCGCAUGCGCCAUAGAGAAGCGGUGAAAGGUUAUACUUUAAUUAUUCUGCAUCUUAAUUGACUCUUUCACUGAGCCUUUACUCAUGUUUCACUAACAAAUGAAGUAAUUUAUUCAGUUAAAACAUUGACAGUUUUGUGUUAAAAGAUUUAACAAAGCAAACAGCUGCAGUAAAACACGUUCAGGUGGAUUACCGAGCGAGCUGCAGAAACUUCCUCUGUCAUGUGUAUAAACAGUCGGUGCAAUAAAUACAGUUUGUAUGAGGGACAGCUUGUGCCACGGGUCAAGUCCUCUUCAGCCCACAAAAUUAAUUAGACGUUAAUUAGACUAGACAGCCGCCAUAUUAGCUCCAUUUUAACGCUUUUCAUUGUGUUGUUUUAUCCACCUGCAGGAUGAAAGAAACAAGUUAUUUUUUAAGUUUUAAAGCAGCACAAAAUAUCCCCGGAGGCUGCCAAAACCAGCUGUGUCAUUAAUGUCUCGCAAGUUAAUUUGUUACGCAACGGGGGGAAAAAAGCUGCACCCUUGGCGUUUGGUUCUGUUGACAUUAGAGACCUGUUUUCCUGCAAAUAAAGGAUAAAUCAAGUAAAUUAGCUUACUCAAAGCCGCAGUUUGGUCCUGAAGCAUCGCCCCACAAACAACGGGAAGUAAAUGCUCCAGGUCCGAGGCCCCCUGUCCUGCCAGAGAGCAGCAGUCAGUCACGUUAUGCAAAUGAGUUCACCUCUCCACCUCUGCGUGCAUCAGGGUGUGGAGGGCACUUCAGCACAAAAUGAAAACAUCUGUAUCAAAAGAGGUAAUGCAUCACAUUUUAUAUGUUCAUCACUGAAUUUUAAUUGUUGCAUUUUACAGUGAAAUUACUAUUAUCAAAUAAUCUGUUAAAUAGUAACUAAUUCUCAUUAAAACAGUACGUCCGAUGGUCAUUUCCUCAAGAUUAUACAAAUAGCAACAAGAAGAAAAUGUUCAGUUUAUGUUUGAAACAGUAAGUUAGAAUGAAUUUUUAAAAACUAUCAAAUCUAUUUAUUGAAUCUGUAUUACUGUAAAUAUAGAUAAUGAAGUCUGCAGUCUGACUUGACUACUACAUUCAUACAAGGCAAAAUGAUGACCGUCUGUCAGUUUCCUGUUUUUGUUCUGUAUCAACCACAAAAUGUGCUUUUACUCAGGACACCAAACCGUAGAUGUUUCAGACAGUCAGCUACUGUGGUUGUGAAGUUAUUACCAGUUAAAGUAUGUUGCAAUGCUGCUCACAACGCUUGCAAACUCAUGUUGCAUUGAUCUAGUGAUCUGUACGCUUAGCAGUAAGCAUUCAAACUCGUGCAAAUAUGAGGUGGCUGCAUUCAGAGGGCUAGAAAUGUGAUUUUGCACUUUAAAGGUAAGAAUUUAGCGAGCCAAUUUGGCUCUUUGCAUUAAGAGUUUUGCACAUUGAAACACUGUUGGGGAAAACUUUAUUAGUCCUCGUGGAUCCGGAUCAGAACCGACCUGAGCAUGUCGACACGUUUGACUCCUCUGAUCAAGUCCUCUCAAUAUACACUGUGCAAGGAACAGAUUUACUGAAGGAUACAAAUACAGACAACAAGCACA